ACUAGUCUAGAUCCCAUAACAAAACAGUCUAAAAUCAAAACACAAAUAUACUUUAGGAAUUGCAAAUAAUAACUCUACAUCGUGCUUGAUUUGUAAGAAGGCGAAGAGGUGUAAGUUCUUAAAUCACAUCGCUGCCAUGUUGGUGACUUUGACUCUACCAUAAUACGACUCAUCUGUAAAAUAAAUAAAACAGUUAUUUUUCAUAUAAAUGAGGAAAAUUUUAGUUAAAAAUCCAAUAAAAU
Phymastichus coffea is the source of this 242-nucleotide long non-coding RNA. RefSeq lists it as uncharacterized. NCBI's taxonomy places the organism in Eukaryota, Metazoa, Arthropoda, Insecta, Hymenoptera, Eulophidae. The record is from RefSeq and is a predicted model, not a curated record. The transcript has 3 exons.